This 970-nucleotide small RNA is filed under the name Pan troglodytes (chimpanzee). Its description in RNAcentral is "sense overlapping". The record is from RNAcentral. Lineage: Eukaryota; Metazoa; Chordata; Mammalia; Primates; Hominidae.
CUAGGGGAGCCAGUAAAGAUUAAAUGUGCUUCUCAAAGGCAGCCACUUCAUGCUGCUAUGUCGAAAGGGCCAUUAUUAUUAUUAUAUUUUAAUAGUAAAAGAGAAAAGGAGAGAGGUUGAGCGAGCGAGAGAGAAGCUAGGUGUGAUGAUGACAGACUAGCUUUUCUGAGAGGAAAAGGAAAAGGGAAGGGAGAGAAAAAGGAGAGCCUCUGAGCUCAACGGAGGAUUGUGCCUGAGAAGAACCCACAGAGGAGGCUGUGCGGGCCCCGCUCCGCUUCGAAUGGUUGUGUUGAUGUUCCUUUCAGCUGGUCCUAUAGUACCCCUCCUCAGGAAUGUCUCCCCAGUGCAAGGACAAAGACUGAAGAGACUGCUAUAUUGAUGGACUCUCAAGCCAACUAUGAAGUUGAAACAAAGAAAGUGAUCACCUGAAGACACCUCCUCUGCUAAGAAACACCCCCAAAUUGUGCAGCUUCUGCCACUAGAACUCUCAGAACAAGAGACAAUCUUUUCAAGAAACAGAAAAACUCAAUAAUGACAUCUAGAUUUUCAUGAGCCAAGAACUUUCCUUUCCUCAUGUGUAUUCCUCUGUUUGUACUUAAAUUCAUGUGACAUUCAUUUUUUUCCUAGUAUGGAUAUGCUUAUUAAUGCACUUGUUUCAAAAUCCCAAAUUGCACAAAUGUGUUAAUAUUUUAAGAAACAAAAUGAAUCCUACAAGGAGAAUGAUGUUUAGCCACACAUAGGGUUGGAUCUUAAGAGUGACCUACAGAAUAAAAGUACUUUUAAAAUAAAGUAGUCAGAGGCUAUUCAAAGGGUAAAAUAAUCAUAGUACCACAUUGGUCCACUUGACACUAACCAAUCGAUCAUUUUUUUUAAAUCAAGAAAGCUAGAUUCUAUCAGAUAAAAUCACUGCUUCUAAAGAGUUUAAAUCUAGUUAGAAAAAGUUAUAGAAAUGUUUUCAAAGAUAAGUAAC